RNAcentral lists this ribosomal RNA (1492 nucleotides) under uncultured bacterium. Its description in RNAcentral is "16S ribosomal RNA". It matches the Rfam family "Bacterial small subunit ribosomal RNA". The record is from RNAcentral.
UUGAUCAUGGCUCAGGAUGAACGCUAGCGGCAGGCUUAACACAUGCAAGUCGAGGGGCAGCGGGGAGGAAGCUUGCUUUCUCCGCCGGCGACCGGCGCACGGGUGAGUAACACGUAUGCAACCUGCCCCUGUCAGGGGGACAACCCGCCGAAAGGCGGGCUAAACCCGCGUACAUGCCACCGGGGCAUCCCGGAGGCAGGAAAGGCUUCGGCCGGACAGGGAUGGGCAUGCGGCGCAUUAGGCAGUAGGCGGGGUAACGGCCCACCUAACCGACGAUGCGUAGGGGUUCUGAGAGGAAGGUCCCCCACACUGGUACUGAGACACGGACCAGACUCCUACGGGAGGCAGCAGUGAGGAAUAUUGGUCAAUGGUCGGGAGACUGAACCAGCCAAGCCGCGUGAGGGAGGAAGGUACAGAGUAUCGUAAACCUCUUUUGUCAGGGAACAAAGACUGGGACGCGUCCCCGGAUGAGUGUACCUGAAGAAAAAGCAUCGGCUAACUCCGUGCCAGCAGCCGCGGUAAUACGGAGGAUGCGAGCGUUAUCCGGAUUUAUUGGGUUUAAAGGGUGCGCAGGCGGUCUGUUAAGUCAGCGGUCAAAGCCCGGGGCUCAACCCCGGCCCGCCGUUGAAACUGGCAGUCUCGAGUUGGAGAGAAGUAUGCGGAAUGCGCGGUGUAGCGGUGAAAUGCAUAGAUAUCGCGCAGAACUCCGAUUGCGAAGGCAGCAUGCCGGCUCCACACUGACGCUGAGGCACGAAAGCGUGGGUAUCGAACAGGAUUAGAUACCCUGGUAGUCCACGCAGUAAACGAUGAAUGCUGGCUGUCCGGGGGGACUGACCCCUGGGUGGCGAAGCGAAAGCGAUAAGCAUUCCACCUGGGGAGUACGCCGGCAACGGUGAAACUCGAAGGAAUUGACGGGGGCCCGCACAAGCGGAGGAACAUGUGGUUUAAUUCGAUGAUACGCGAGGAACCUUACCCGGGCUCAAACGGGGAGUGACUCAGGCAGAGACGCCUGUUUCCCACGGGACACUCCCCGAGGUGCUGCAUGGUUGUCGUCAGCUCGUGCCGUGAGGUGUCGGCUUAAGUGCCAUAACGAGCGCAACCCCCGCGUGCAGUUGCUAACAGAUAACGCUGAGGACUCUGCACGGACUGCCGGCGCAAGCCGCGAGGAAGGCGGGGAUGACGUCAAAUCAGCACGGCCCUUACGUCCGGGGCGACACACGUGUUACAAUGGGUGGUACAGCGGGAAGCCAGGCGGCGACGCCGAGCGGAACCCGAAAUCCACUCUCAGUUCGGAUCGGAGUCUGCAACCCGACUCCGUGAAGCUGGAUUCGCUAGUAAUCGCGCAUCAGCCAUGGCGCGGUGAAUACGUUCCCGGGCCUUGUACACACCGCCCGUCAAGCCAUGGGAGCCGAGGGCGCUUGAAGUGCGUCGCCGCGAGGCGCGCCCUAGAGCGAAAUCGGUGACUGGGGCUAAGUCGUAACAAGGUAGCCGU